RNAcentral lists this non-coding RNA (102 nucleotides) under Parageobacillus caldoxylosilyticus. Its description in RNAcentral is "Geobacillus caldoxylosilyticus Guanine sequence". It matches the Rfam family "Purine riboswitch aptamer". Rfam says of the family: Riboswitches are metabolite binding domains within certain messenger RNAs that serve as precision sensors for their corresponding targets. Allosteric rearrangement of mRNA structure is mediated by ligand binding, and this results in modulation of gene expression. A class of riboswitches that selectively recognises guanine and becomes saturated at concentrations as low as 5 nM. Lineage: Bacteria; Bacillati; Bacillota; Bacilli; Caryophanales; Anoxybacillaceae. The record is from RNAcentral. RNAcentral also lists the same sequence under 1 other name.
AGCAUCAAUGGUUGUUACCUUCAUAUAUGCUUGGAAAUAUGGUCCAAGUGUCUCUACCGGGUCGCCGUAAACGACCUGACUAUGAAGGCAGAAUGAGCUAGA